GGGUUGGGGGGGGAAAGAGGGAUGCUGCGACCCCGCGGCCUAACGCAGAGCUGCCUGCUCCGCUGCCACCCAGCUCUCUUUUUUAUUUCUUCCCUUCCUUUUUCACGCUUUUUGAUUUUUGUUCCAAUUUUUUUCUUCACCUCUUUAGCCAGAGGGGUGCCUGGGAGCCCAUCGCCACCCCUCACCCCCUUUCCCUGCCCUUCACCUCCCAUCCCUUCUUCUCCCAUCCCUUCUCCCUUCUCUUCUCCCAUCCCUUCUCCCAUCCCUUCUCCCAUCCCUUCUCCCAUCCCUUCUCCCAUCCCUUCUCCCAUCCCUUCUCCCAUCCCUUCUCCCAUCCCUUCUCCCAUCCCAUCCUUUCUCCCAUCCCAUCCUUUCUCCCAUCCCAUCCUUUCUCCCAUCCCAUCCUUUCUCCCAUCCCAUCCUUUCUCCCAUCCCAUCCUUUCUCCCAUCCCAUCCUUUCUCCCAUCCCAUCCUUUCUCCCAUCCCAUCCUUUCUCCCAUCCCAUCCUUUCUCCCAUCCCAUCCUUUCUCCCAUCCCAUCCUUUCUCCCAUCCCAUCCUUUCUCCCAUCCCAUCCUUUCUCCCAUCCCUUCCUUCUCCCAUCCCUUCCUUCUCCCAUCCCUUCCUUCUCCCAUCCCUUCUCCCAUCCCUUUGCAGCUGGAGGCCAACCCGCCCUGCAUCCCUCCAUCCCCGACCCUCUGCCCCAGUGCUCCCAGCAGGUACCUCGCACUGGGCAAGGACAGGCCUUACUGGAAGGGACGGUGUCAUCCCCCCCCACAACCUCCCCCAUGGGGCAGGGGGGGCCUUUGAUGAUGGCAGUGAGGGGGGGUCCAUCUCUCUUUGCAGCCCCGCGCGCAGACCCUCACCUCCGGGACGGCACCCACAGGAAGAACAUCAACAGGAGUUUGGGGUCCCUGGGACGACUCUUUGCACCCUGACCCCCCCUGGGGUGCUGCAGGUAUUUGGGGGCAGCCCCCCACCCCCCCCUUUCCUUCCUGGGCUCAUAGCCCAGCGGGUGCGGAUGCCGCAAGGAGCCCGCCGUGCCGUGCCGUGCCGUGCCGUGCCGUGCCGCGCCAAUAAAGCUCUUUUCGCUGCGGGUCUCCCGCA
This 1105-nucleotide long non-coding RNA is filed under the name Calidris pugnax (ruff). Its description in RNAcentral is "lncRNA (ENSCPUG00000006493.1)". The record is from RNAcentral. Lineage: Eukaryota; Metazoa; Chordata; Aves; Charadriiformes; Scolopacidae.